UCAGUCUUUUUCUCUCUCCUAUU
RNAcentral lists this non-coding RNA (23 nucleotides) under Tribolium castaneum (red flour beetle). The record is from RNAcentral. Lineage: Eukaryota; Metazoa; Arthropoda; Insecta; Coleoptera; Tenebrionidae. RNAcentral also lists the same sequence under 1 other name.